Molecule: long non-coding RNA, 4062 nt
Organism: Lolium perenne
Lineage: Eukaryota; Viridiplantae; Streptophyta; Magnoliopsida; Poales; Poaceae
Source: RefSeq, a predicted model, not a curated record
UUCUUCUGUCUUCUCUGCCGCCGGCGAUGCCGGUGGUGGGCGGAGGCUCGCCGGUCCACCGCCAGCUGACACUAAAACUAAACGGUCGACCCGACCGGACCGCACCGGACUAGACCAGACCGACUCCCAGGUCGAGCCGCACCUCACACCUAGCCUAGCCGCAUUCCGGCGCCGCCGCCGGCGAACUCCGCCUCUCCGGCGCCCUCCUCCCGGCCAAGACGCCGCGCUCGCCACCUCGCUCUCUUCCUCGUCCUCGUCCUCGUCCACGCACACGCCCAUCUCCCCACCGCUUCCUCUAGCUUCUCCUCUUUUUCAGCCGCCGCGUGCUCCAGGCCGACCUCAACCUCCAGCCGUCGACAACGCACACGGUCUCCUCAGGCACGUGCAGGCGAGCUCACGGUAGGGCUGCCGGAGCACCCGGCUACGGUCCCCAUCUCGGAGCUGCUCACUUGAACUCCAUCUGUGUGGCGCCUGCGACGUGUUCGACGGAAUGUUCAAGCCAGCAGAUUGCAGAGCACUGUACUGAGAGGCACAACUUGGUACAGAUGGGUCAGAACUGGAAGCUGCUUCUCAAGAUUUCAGCAAUGUAAUUGGUACACUACCUCGAUGUACAUUGUAUAAAGGAGCCCUCUGCAUGUGGAGCGGAGAUAACUCUUGCGUCUAAAACAUUCCUGUGCAUGGUCUCGUAUAGCUGAAGCACAAUUGAAGAAUAAGGUCUCAUGCGAAAUCCACUUCUCCGGCGCCGUCCUCCCGGCCAAAGACGCCGCGACCGCCGGGGCUUUCCCGCCACCUGCCCAGGCGUUGACUGCUGACGUGCAGCUGCCAGGUGGCCUCCUAGCUCCUAGCGUCCCGCGACGCUCGCCGGAUGGCACUCCAUCGUGAAGCUAGGGUUGCAGCACUUCCAAAGGAGUGCCCGAGCUGGUGAACGAGUUCGUGGUGUGCGCACGCUGGGGAGUGGAUUCAAUCCACGAUUGCGGUCUCUUGAGCAUCAGCCAUCUGCUUGUGGCCAGAUUUUGUUCCACUGACAUGCUGGGGCUGUUUGGUACAGGAUAUGCAUCUUAUGCAGCUCUGCUUGCUCCUGUUUAAAGUAGCAUCUAUUUUAUUUCUUAGAUGCUUGAUUGAUGUUUUGCCCUACAUUUAUGUGUGCAGUUACUCUAGGAACUUAGCAAAUAUUGGGCUGAAGGUCAUUUUACCUCGAGAGAUUGGACAGCUUGCUUAUAUGCAUUCUCUGUUAGCAAAAAGUCUGAAAGUUUGUAGCAUGUAUGUUGAGGAAGCACAUGACCUGAGACUUUUGAGCUAUCGAUUUAGGCACAUCCGUUUGAAUGUAGCAUGAUUUUUCUUGGAAUCUACUUGGAUACAUGGCAUGUGUUUCUUCUUGAUUCUUAGGGACUUAUAAAAUAUUUUAGUGAUAAAGGGUGUGAAAUGGUCUGUCAGGUUUCAAGCUGUUAUUUUCUCUGUUCUUAUUCUGACAAACCAAGAAGAACGCCUCAAUUCAAAAUAAAGAAGCAAAAUGAGUUUGGGGCCAUAGGAGUAUGCAUGGAUCUAAUUCAUGUAUAUGACAGUUACUAGAGUCAGAAAUAUUUACCCAUUUGCAGUACGCAGAUGAUACUGUGAUGUUCCUGGAGCUUUAUGAACAAUCUAUGAUCACAAUGAAAUUUUUGUUGUAUUGUUAUGAAGCGAUGUCUGGCUUGAGGACUAACUAUCAGAAAUGUGAGAUUUUUGUCCUUGGUGUGGACAAGGAAGAGCAGGAAAGAGUAGCGGAUCUCUUCCAUUGUCAAAUGGGUUCUUUCCCGAUGAAAUAUCUUUGUGUUCCUGUGUCUGAUAAGAAGCUUUUAGCGCCUGACUUCGAGUUCUGGCAUAUUAAGAUUCAAAAGUGGUUGGGGACCUGGCAGCCGGUCUCUACCGGUAGGCGGAAGAUCUUGAUCGAUGCGUGUUUAGAUAAUGUUCCAAAUCAUAUUUUGGGGGUUUACCUACUGGCUGAUGUUGUUCAUCACAAAGCUGAUAUGAUCAGAGCUACUUUUUAUUGGGAGGGUAAUGGUAGUGAACAUAAGUACCAUAUGGUCAAGUGGGCCAAUCUCUGCUGUCUGAAACAAUAUGGUGGUAUGGGUUUUGUUGAUAGCAGAGUGCGUAAUAUCUCUCUCUUGGCAAAGUGGAUUAUGAAGUUAGAGAAAGGAUAUCAACGUUUGUGCUGUCAAAUUUUGAGGAAGAAAUAUCUUGGUAAUGGAAGCCUUUUCCAAUCGGAGGCAGCGGGGACGUCUCAGUUCUGGAAAGGUUUGCAUUCCAUCAAACAUUGGGUGCGUAGAGGCAUCACAUAUCAGCUUGGCGCUAGUAGGAAGAUUUGUUUUUGGAAAGAUGUGUGGUUAGGACAGGUGCCGUUGAGUGUGUGUUUUCCCAUUCUCUUUCAACAUUUUGAUGAUCCGGAGGCGCUGGUGGCUGAUGUGGUGAGGCAUGGAGGCCUUGCACUUACCUUCCGUCGGUCUUUUGGACCAAGGGAGCUUAGGGAAUGAGAUGAAUUACGUCUGUUGUUGCAGGGGAUCAGUCUUUCGAGUGCCCAAGACGUGGGUCUUUGGGCACUUACCAAAUCUGGUACCUUUUCCUCUAAAUCCUUGUAUGACGAGUUAACGAAUUCUGGUGUGAAAGAUGUGCAUAUGAUGGAUAUGUGGAAGAGUAACAUGCCUAUGAAGAUCAAAAUCUUUGUGUGGAUGUGUUUUAGAGGUAGGAUUCAGGUGGCGGCGGAUUUGAAGGCAAAGAAUUGGCCGGGUGAUCCUUGUUGUAAGCUGUGUGGAGAGUUAGAAACUGCAGGUCAUCUUAUUUUUAAUUGUCCUUUAUCUCAUUUCAAUUGGUGGUGGAUCAAAGAGGCUAUGGGCUGGGAGAGGCCGCCUGUUUGCUUUGAUGAUUUCAUCACUUUAGGUCUUAAUAAACCUGGUGCUCAUUCUAAUCUUGUGGGUUGGGCUAUUUUUGGAGCUAUUGCCUGGUCUAGUUGGUUGGCUCGAAAUGAUUUGGUAUUCAACAACAAAACCUGCGGGUCUCCUUUUGCUAAUAUUUUCAAGAUGAUCUCCUUCCUUUCACAGUGGACGGUGCUGAUACCAGCAAGGCGUAGGACAGAGUGGAUGAAGAUGAUGGACCGUGUGAAGCUGGCUGCGAAGACCUCCUAUUUCCUUGUCAGACCGUGUGGUGGGAUCAGUUGACUCUGUUCUUCUUCUGGUGGUGUUUAGGCUAGUUGGUUUCUGCUGAUGUGCGGGCUCUAAACUUGUAGCUUUUUGUUAGCCUGUUGUUUUUUGUGGCUGGUUGCUUGGUGGUGUGUGUGUCUGUAAUAACUGGUGAUCCCAGUAUAUUGUGCUUUCUUUAUAAAGCAGGGCAAGUAUUUGCCUUUUCUCUAAAAAAGAGUCAGAAAUACAGCUUUUUCUAAUUCAAUUAUGUGUGCCCAAUCAGGCAUUCACCAAAAACGCGUCUUAUAUCUACAUGCAUUAUUUGUGUGUAUGUUAUGUACUUGGGUUACUUGUGAAAUGGUGUUUAGGCUUCAAUCUAUUCAGAUAUAUUUUUCUUCCGUCCAUAUGGCUUACUGCACAAUAACUUUUUCUAUGGUAUUAUCCCUACAGAUAAUAGGUGAUUUACGGGAGCUGAAGGUGUUGGAUCUGAGGUUCCGUCAGAGAUAAAUAAACAUUUUAUUCCUGGAGUUCAUCUUUCUUAAAGGAAACAGAUUUUAUGGUAGAUUACCUCUCGACACGGGCGGAGCCAGAUGGGUACUUGGGUGUACAGAUGUAUACCCAAUAUUUUGAGGAGAAAUGCAUUUCCAAUGUAUUAUACAUACUAAUUGACAACAUGCUAAAUAUAGUACUGAAAGUUUGCCUAUUUUUUCAAGCUUUGUACACCCAUUAGUUGAAACCUGGCUCCGCCGAUGCCUCUCGAGUUAAAUGAGCUGAUCAGUCUGUGUGAGUUUCAGGCUUACCAAGACAGGACUUCGUCAAGUAGGAUCUCCACUGCAAGGUUUGUCUAAACGCAUAUGUGAGUGUUAAACUUGUAAUUCAUGCAAGGAUUGAGAUGAAGUUCAAAUAAAGCAGA